ACUUAAGCAUAUCAAUAAGCGGAGGAAAAGAAACCAACAGGGAUUGCCUUAGUAGCGGCGAGUGAAGCGGCAAAAGCUCAAAUUUGAAAUCUGGCUCUUUCAGAGUCCGAGUUGUAAUUUGAAGAAGGUAUCUUUGGGUCUGGCUCUUGUCUAUGUUUCUUGGAACAGAACGUCACAGAGGGUGAGAAUCCCGUGCGAUGAGAUGAUCCAGGCCUAUGUAAAGUUCCUUCGAAGAGUCGAGUUGUUUGGGAAUGCAGCUCUAAGUGGGUGGUAAAUUCCAUCUAAAGCUAAAUAUUGGCGAGAGACCGAUAGCGAACAAGUACAGUGAUGGAAAGAUGAAAAGAACUUUGAAAAGAGAGUGAAAAAGUACGUGAAAUUGUUGAAAGGGAAGGGCUUGAGAUCAGACUUGGUAUUUUGUAUGUUACUUCUUCGGGGGUGGCCUCUACAGUUUAUCGGGCCAGCAUCAGUUUGGGCGGUAGGAGAAUUGCGUUGGAAUGUGGCACGGCUUCGGUUGUGUGUUAUAGCCUUCGUCGAUACUGCCAGCCUAGACUGAGGACUGCGGUUUAUACCUAGGAUGUUGGCAUAAUGAUCUUAA
RNAcentral lists this ribosomal RNA (595 nucleotides) under Candida tropicalis. Its description in RNAcentral is "LSU rRNA". It matches the Rfam family "Eukaryotic large subunit ribosomal RNA", at positions 32 to 643 of the family's 3401-position model. The record is from RNAcentral. Lineage: Eukaryota; Fungi; Ascomycota; Pichiomycetes; Serinales; Debaryomycetaceae.